RNAcentral lists this ribosomal RNA (458 nucleotides) under uncultured bacterium. RNAcentral's name for it is "partial 16S ribosomal RNA". It matches the Rfam family "Bacterial small subunit ribosomal RNA", at positions 338 to 795 of the family's 1533-position model. The record is from RNAcentral.
CCUACGGGUGGCAGCAGUGGGGAAUAUUGCACAAUGGGGGAAACCCUGAUGCAGCGAAGCCGCGUGAGUGAAGAAGUAAUACGUUACGUUAAGCUCUUUUUGCAGGGAAGCAAUACCGACCUUACGUUCACCAGACGGUACAUGAGAAAGAAGCUCCGGCUAACUACGGGCCCGCAGCCGCGGUAAUACGGAGGGGACAAGCGUUAUCUGGUUUUUUUGGGUGUAAAGGGGGCGGAGACGGUGCGCCAAGUCUGGAGUGAAAUGCCGCAGCUUAACUGCGGAACUGCUGUUGAAACUGGCGAACGAGAGUUCGAGAGAGGUAAGCGGAAUGCGGGGUGUAGCGGUGAAAUGCGUAGAUAUUAGGAAGAACACCGGUGGCGAAGGCAGCUGACUGGAUCGAAACUGACGUUGAGGCUCGAAAGCGUGGGUAGCGAACAGGAUUAGAUACCCGAGUAGUC